This 1550-nucleotide ribosomal RNA is filed under the name Klebsiella pneumoniae. RNAcentral's name for it is "bacterial SSU rRNA". It matches the Rfam family "Bacterial small subunit ribosomal RNA". The record is from RNAcentral. Lineage: Bacteria; Pseudomonadati; Pseudomonadota; Gammaproteobacteria; Enterobacterales; Enterobacteriaceae.
AAAUUGAAGAGUUUGAUCAUGGCUCAGAUUGAACGCUGGCGGCAGGCCUAACACAUGCAAGUCGAGCGGUAGCACAGAGAGCUUGCUCUCGGGUGACGAGCGGCGGACGGGUGAGUAAUGUCUGGGAAACUGCCUGAUGGAGGGGGAUAACUACUGGAAACGGUAGCUAAUACCGCAUAACGUCGCAAGACCAAAGUGGGGGACCUUCGGGCCUCAUGCCAUCAGAUGUGCCCAGAUGGGAUUAGCUAGUAGGUGGGGUAACGGCUCACCUAGGCGACGAUCCCUAGCUGGUCUGAGAGGAUGACCAGCCACACUGGAACUGAGACACGGUCCAGACUCCUACGGGAGGCAGCAGUGGGGAAUAUUGCACAAUGGGCGCAAGCCUGAUGCAGCCAUGCCGCGUGUGUGAAGAAGGCCUUCGGGUUGUAAAGCACUUUCAGCGGGGAGGAAGGCGUUAAGGUUAAUAACCUCAUCGAUUGACGUUACCCGCAGAAGAAGCACCGGCUAACUCCGUGCCAGCAGCCGCGGUAAUACGGAGGGUGCAAGCGUUAAUCGGAAUUACUGGGCGUAAAGCGCACGCAGGCGGUCUGUCAAGUCGGAUGUGAAAUCCCCGGGCUCAACCUGGGAACUGCAUUCGAAACUGGCAGGCUAGAGUCUUGUAGAGGGGGGUAGAAUUCCAGGUGUAGCGGUGAAAUGCGUAGAGAUCUGGAGGAAUACCGGUGGCGAAGGCGGCCCCCUGGACAAAGACUGACGCUCAGGUGCGAAAGCGUGGGGAGCAAACAGGAUUAGAUACCCUGGUAGUCCACGCCGUAAACGAUGUCGAUUUGGAGGUUGUGCCCUUGAGGCGUGGCUUCCGGAGCUAACGCGUUAAAUCGACCGCCUGGGGAGUACGGCCGCAAGGUUAAAACUCAAAUGAAUUGACGGGGGCCCGCACAAGCGGUGGAGCAUGUGGUUUAAUUCGAUGCAACGCGAAGAACCUUACCUGGUCUUGACAUCCACAGAACUUAGCAGAGAUGCUUUGGUGCCUUCGGGAACUGUGAGACAGGUGCUGCAUGGCUGUCGUCAGCUCGUGUUGUGAAAUGUUGGGUUAAGUCCCGCAACGAGCGCAACCCUUAUCCUUUGUUGCCAGCGGUUCGGCCGGGAACUCAAAGGAGACUGCCAGUGAUAAACUGGAGGAAGGUGGGGAUGACGUCAAGUCAUCAUGGCCCUUACGACCAGGGCUACACACGUGCUACAAUGGCAUAUACAAAGAGAAGCGACCUCGCGAGAGCAAGCGGACCUCAUAAAGUAUGUCGUAGUCCGGAUUGGAGUCUGCAACUCGACUCCAUGAAGUCGGAAUCGCUAGUAAUCGUAGAUCAGAAUGCUACGGUGAAUACGUUCCCGGGCCUUGUACACACCGCCCGUCACACCAUGGGAGUGGGUUGCAAAAGAAGUAGGUAGCUUAACCUUCGGGAGGGCGCUUACCACUUUGUGAUUCAUGACUGGGGUGAAGUCGUAACAAGGUAACCGUAGGGGAACCUGCGGUUGGAUCACCUCCUUACCUUAAAGAA